AGAGGAUAGUUGCAAGUGGAGUAGAGACGGAUGUGUUUGUGGGAACUGCAGUGAGCUUCUAUGGAAAAUGCGAGGCUGUAGAAGACGCAAGACAGGUGUUUGAUCGGAUAAUGGACAAAGACAUUGUUUGCUGGAAUGAAAUAACCGGAGCGUAUGCACAGCACCAUUGCGAGGAGAAAGCGUUUGCAUUGUACCUGGAGAUGGUGGAGAAUCAAAUGCGCCCCAACGAUGUCACGCUCAUCACGCUCAUCACGCUCCUGGACUCUUGUUCGAGCACCUGCAAAAUGGAAAGGGGAUCGUCACUCCACAGAGAAGCUGCUGCUAGAGGAUACCUGUUCCACACGUCCGUCGUCAACGCGCUCAUCAACAUGUAUGCCAAGUGUGGAAGCCUCGAAAACGCGACGAGAGUGUUUAUCGAGGCAACAAACCGCACUACCAACGUGAUCACCUGGAACACCAUGAUAGUAGCCAACGCACAGGAGGAUCUAAAUCUCGAGGCCCUGCAAAUAUACCGCAGAAUAAAUCAAGAAGGGAUAAAAGCAAGCGACGUUACUUACGGUACUGUUCUUGCUGUCUGUGCCAAUCUUGGUGAAUUUACCACGGGCCGAGAAGUUCACUCUCGCAGUCUUGCCACUGGAUGCUGCUCGGACGUCGUAAAAAACUCUCUUAUGUGUCUGUGUGGAAACUUGGAGGCCGCUCAAACUGCUUUCGAGAGUGUCGCAAGUAAAAACGUCGUUUCCUGGUCUUCAAUCGUUGCGGCUUAUGCACGGAACGGCGAAGAAGACAGAGCUCGCAACCUGUUCUGGACGAUGAAUCAGGACGGAGUGCUGCGGAAUAUUGUUACGUUCACUUCUGUUCUUCAUGCCUGCUCUCAUGCCGGACUGGCCGACGAAGGAUGGAGCUACUUUCUCUCCAUGCAGGGAGACCACCAUCUAGAGCCAACUCCCGAGCACUACGGAUGCAUGGCCAACUUGCUCGCCAAGUCCGGCUGGGUGAAGCACGCUGCAAGCUUCAUGUCCGCCAUGCCGGUUCAACCUGAUGCUUCAGCCUGGAGGAGCCUACUUGGUGCUUGU
RNAcentral lists this long non-coding RNA (1073 nucleotides) under Selaginella moellendorffii. Its description in RNAcentral is "long non-coding RNA (SMOE_LNC001339)". The record is from RNAcentral. Lineage: Eukaryota; Viridiplantae; Streptophyta; Lycopodiopsida; Selaginellales; Selaginellaceae.